GUAGGCAGCGAGCGUUGUUCGGAGUUACUGGGCGUAAAGAGUGCGUAGGCGGUUUUCUAAGUUUGGUGUGAAAUCUCCCGGCUUAACUGGGAGGGUGCGCCGAAGACUGGAAGGCUUGAGUAUGGGAGAGGUAAGCGGAAUUCAUGGUGUAGCGGUGAAAUGCGUAGAUAUCAGGAGGAACACCUGCGGUGUAGACGGCUUACUGGACCAUAACUGACGCUGAGGCACGAAAGCGUGGGUAGCAAACAGGGAUUAGAUACCCUGGUAGUCCACGCCCUAAACGAUGCAUACUUGGUGUGGGUAGUUCAUUCUAUCCGUGCCGGAGCUAACGCGUUAAGUAUGCCGCCUGGGGAUACGGUCGCAAGGCUG
Molecule: ribosomal RNA, 369 nt
Filed under: uncultured organism
Description: partial 16S ribosomal RNA
Rfam family: Bacterial small subunit ribosomal RNA
Source: RNAcentral